UUCGCUCUAGGUACUAUGAUGUUGUUUGUGAGUAGAAUGGGUCAUCUCAUUUUCUUGUUCUUGAGGGUCUUGUCUCUAAGCCUCCAUGGCUACUCUUAAUUCCUCGAUGAUAUUUUUGUUCCUUUCAUUACUGAAGUAUAUCUAUCUUUGUUUUUUAACUACUCUUAAAGAAACUUCUAUUGCUCUUGGUAAAUUCUCUAAUUGGAAAAUAGUUAUUCUUCGAGUGCUUUCAUCUUGUUUGGCAUUUUUGUGAACUGUUGAAACCUCAAUUAAGGAUUCUUAAAGUUCAAAUCGAGUGAGGGGGCACUAGUUAUAAUAACACGGUGGUGGGCACUGGUAGUAUUGUUGAUAAGGGUUGAACUGUGUGUGUUGACAUUCUUGGGUGGUUUGUGUGGAGCUUGUAUGGGGCUAGCCACGAUCAAUGUCUCUCGGAGAUUUCUGGUGGUUGACACGAGGGCUACGUUCAGUGGUUGGAAGAACAAUGAUAUCUGGAUUUGUCAUUAUGAGUCCACACUCAUUGCACCAAAAUUUCAACCUACGAAAUCAACAAGGAGUAAACAAGGAUGAUGGUGGAAGUUCACCCUGGGAGGGUAGAGAGCUUUCGUGUCAGGAGGAUAAAAGAGAGGCUAGAAGAAAGAGAGAAAGAGUUUUCUGUUCUCUUGUCCUUAGUGAAAUUGG
Molecule: long non-coding RNA, 678 nt
Filed under: Gossypium barbadense (sea-island cotton)
Lineage: Eukaryota; Viridiplantae; Streptophyta; Magnoliopsida; Malvales; Malvaceae
Description: long non-coding RNA (GBAR_LNC019061)
Source: RNAcentral